Molecule: ribosomal RNA, 440 nt
Filed under: uncultured bacterium
Lineage: Bacteria
Description: partial 16S ribosomal RNA
Rfam family: Bacterial small subunit ribosomal RNA
Source: RNAcentral
CCUACGGGAGGCAGCAGUGGGGCAUAUUGCACAAUGGGGGAAACCCUGAUGCAGCAACGCCGCGUGAAGGAAGACGGUUUUCGGAUUGUAACCUUCUGUUCUUAGUGAAGAAUAAUGACGGUAGCUAAGGAGCAAGCCACGGCUAACUACGUGCCAGCAGCCGCGGUAAUACGUCGGUGGCACGCGUUGUCCGGAAUUACUGGGUGUAAAGGGAGCGCGGGCGGGAGGCCAAGUCAGCGGUGAGAACUACGGGCUGACCUGGUGGACUGCGGUUGAAACUGGUUUUCUUGGGGAAGGUAGGGGUUGGCGAAGUCCGAGUGUAGCGGUGAAAUGCGUAGAUAUUCGGAGGAACACCGGUGGCGAAGGCGGCCAACUGGGCUUUAACUGACGCUGAGGCUCGAAAGUGUGGGGAGCAAACAGGAUUAGAUACCCGAGUAGUC